CGCGCUCUUGGUAUAAACAUGACUGAGUGUUAUAUUCGCGUCGCGGAGGAUGAGAACGAGGAGCCGAUGGAGAUUCCGUCCGAGGAGGACGGCACCGUGCUGCUCUCCACCGUCGCCGCGCAGUUUCCCGGUGCCUGCGGCCUUAGAUACCGUAGCCCCGUGUCUCAGUGCAUGAGAGGGGUACGACUAGUGGAGGGGGUUCUUCAUGCACCCGAAUCAGACUGGAGCAAUCUGGUGUACGUGGUCAACUACCCAAAAGAUAACAAGAGGAAGAUGGAUGAAAUGGAUGCUGCAUCGGCUGUGAAGAUCAAGAGAGGUGUGCAGAAGACAUCAGAUUUGAUUGUGCUUGGGUUGCCAUGGAAAACAUCAGAGCAAGACCUUAAAGAUUACUUCAGCACUUUUGGAGACGUGAUCAUGGUGCAGGUGAAAAGAGAUGCAAAAACUGGAAAUUCCAAAGGAUUUGGCUUUGUAAGAUUUACAGACUAUGAAACACAAGUAAAAGCCAUGUCCCAGCGGCAUAUGAUUGAUGGAAGAUGGUGCGACUGCAAACUUCCAAACUCAAAGUAUUUCAUGGAACAGGCUGGUCCGGAUGAGCCUAUGAGAAGCAGGAAAGUAUUUGUGGGCCGCUGCACAGAGGACAUGGCAGCCGAUGAGCUUAGACAGUUUUUUAUGCAGUAUGGCGAAGUCACAGACGUGUUCAUUCCCAAACCUUUCCGAGCCUUUGCCUUUGUCACCUUUGCUGAUGAUCAGGUUGCCCAGUCUCUGUGCGGUGAGGACCUGAUCAUUAAAGGAACCAGUGUGCACAUCUCCAACGCUGAGCCUAAGCACAAUAAUAUUCAUCACCUCUUUUCCAAUUUCCCGGGAAGAAGCCCCUCAUUGGCCGCAAUGUUCGAGCGAUCUCAGUAUCAGUUCCCUUCUUCCCAUGUGUAAAUGCUUUGCCACCAGAGAGCACAGCUUCACUCUGCAUAUACUGUGUUAGACGGGACGCUGGACGCGGCUGGCCCAGGUUUACCUCAGAACCCUGAGUGAAGUCCCUAAUGGGAGAGCUGAAGACUGAAGUUCACACAGUUCAUCUGUGGAGACUGCUGCUGUAUGCCUUUAACCUGAAAAGGGACUACAUCACUUCACUGUAACCAGAUUUCCCUGGAUUUCCCUUAUUGAAAUUUCAAUGGACGAUUCGCAAUUGGCCGGAGUGCGUGACUAAAGACAGUCCUUUGCAAUCUAAAAGCAAAGUUAAACCAGUGUGUUUAUGGAUCAGUCCCAUUGCAAAUGACUUCAUGUUCAUGCUUGUGUAUUUCCAGCUCUGUUUUACGCAAGAAGUCAAUGCAGUCAUUGAUCUUGCUUUUAAGUCGUUCUUUUGUUUGAUUGCUUUUUCAUGAUCUGUCCCACUGUAAAUAUAGUGUAGUGAAAGUUGAAAAGGCCUAUUUUUCAUAGUGUUCUGUUAUGGGUGAACCGAUAGGAUUUUGUGAAUGGGGUUUGUGUUAUCAAUGACUUAAUCACUGGCAGGAUUUCCAUUUUUCAAAAUACUUAAUAAACAUACACAGAGGAAUUGUAACUGUAUCUCUUUU
Molecule: RNA transcript, 1568 nt
Organism: Sinocyclocheilus anshuiensis
Lineage: Eukaryota; Metazoa; Chordata; Actinopteri; Cypriniformes; Cyprinidae
Gene name: TAR DNA-binding protein 43-like
Exons: 7
Source: RefSeq, a predicted model, not a curated record